GGGAGGACCACCUCCCAAGGCUAAAUACUACCUGAUGACCGAUAGUGAAGCAGUACCGUGAGGGAAAGGUGAAAAGAACCCCGGGAGGGGAGUGAAAUAGAACCUGAAACCGUGUGCCUACAACCGCUCAGAGCCCCUUAUGAGGGUGAUGAGGUGCUUUUUGUAGAACGAGCCAACGAGUUACGGUAUGUAGCAAGGUUAAGUACUUAAGGUACGGAGCCGAAGGGAAACCGAGUCUGAAUAGGGCGACUAGUUGCAUGCCGUAGACCCGAAACCGGGUGACCUAUCCAUGGCCAGGUUGAAGCGAGGGUAAAACCUCGUGGAGGACCGAACCACGUUGCUGUUGAAAAAGCAUGGGAUGAGCUGUGGAUAGCGGAGAAAUUCCAAUCGAACCCGGAGAUAGCUGGUUCUCUCCGAAAUAGCUUUAGGGCUAGCGUCGAGUAUGAGUAGUGGAGGUAGAGCACUGAAUGGGCUAGGGGGCAUAGCGCUUACCGAACCUUAUCAAACUCCGAAUGCCACAUACUUUGAGCUCGGCAGUCAGACUACGAAUGAUAAGAUCCGUGGUCAAAAGGGAAACAGCCCAGAUCGUCAGCUAAGGUCCCAAAGUGUAAGUUAAGUGGGAAAGGAUGUGAGAUUUCUAAGACAACUAGGAUGUUGGCUUAGAAGCAGCCAUUCAUUAAAAGAGUGCGUAAUAGCUCACUAGUCGAGAGAUCUUGCGCCGAAAAUGUAACGGGGCUAAACUUACCACCGAAGCUACGGGCUUGAACAUAGUUCAAGCGGUAGGAGAGCGUCGUAACCGGGCUGAAGUCGUACCGUAAGGAGCGGUGGACUGGUUACGAGUGAGAAUGUUGGCAUCAGUAGCGAGAUGUGGGUGAGAAUCCCACAGGCCGAAAACCUAAGGUUUCCUCAGGAAGGUUCGUCCGCUGAGGGUUAGUCGGGACCUAAGCCGAGGCCGAAAGGCGUAGGUGAUGGACAACUGGUUGAUAUUCCAGUACCACUACCAUCGUUAUUAUCGAUGGCGUGACGCAGGAGGAUAGUGUGUGCUAGCUAUUGGAUGCUAGUCUAAGCGUUUAGGCAGUGAGAGUAGGCAAAUCCGCUCUCAUAAUGCUGAGGCGUGAUGGGGAAGGUUCUACGGAACCGAAGUACAUGAUUCCACGCUGCCAAGAAAAGCGUCUAGAGAGAGAAGUAGUGCCCGUACCGCAAACCGACACAGGUAGGUGAGGAGAGAAUCCUAAGGCCGGCGGAAGAAUUACAGUUAAGGAACUCGGCAAAUUGACCCCGUAAGUUCGCGAGAAGGGGUGCCUACGAGAGUAGGCCGCAGAGAAUAGGCCCAAGCAACUGUUUAGCAAAAACACAGGUCUCUGCUAAAGCGUAAGCUGAUGUAUAGGGGCUGACGCCUGCCCGGUGCUGGAAGGUUAAGGGGAACACUUAGCGCAAGCGAAGGUGUGAACUUAAGCCCCAGUAAACGGCGGCCGUAACUAUAACGGUCCUAAGGUAGCGAAAUUCCUUGUCAGGUAAGUUCUGACCCGCACGA
Molecule: ribosomal RNA, 1534 nt
Filed under: feces metagenome
Description: bacterial LSU rRNA
Rfam family: Bacterial large subunit ribosomal RNA
Source: RNAcentral